Molecule: ribosomal RNA, 318 nt
Filed under: Triticum aestivum (bread wheat)
Lineage: Eukaryota; Viridiplantae; Streptophyta; Magnoliopsida; Poales; Poaceae
Description: partial small subunit ribosomal RNA
Source: RNAcentral
AUGGGCGCGGUGCGGGUGCCCGGUGGUUCAAGGUGCAGGCACCCGGUGGUGGCCGAUUUGGGCGAAAAUCUUUGGGGAAAGGCCAAAUUCGGUGGAUUUCGUGGUGGGAAGGGUGGGGAUUGUUGGGGAGGGGCUAGAUCCACUUGCCAAACAUCAAAUCCAUGGACCAAAACAACCAACUCUCACAAGAUCCAACAAAUUGCAAGAUUUUUUUUUUGCUAUUUUUAUGGGGAUUUUCGGAUUUGGACGAAAAACAACAAAAUCAAGCUAGCAAAUGGGGGGAUGGGACUCCAAGAUGUGAAUAAACCUUGCUCAUGA